Long non-coding RNA from Ctenocephalides felis (cat flea), 618 nucleotides. RefSeq lists it as uncharacterized. The transcript is spliced from 3 exons. Lineage: Eukaryota; Metazoa; Arthropoda; Insecta; Siphonaptera; Pulicidae. The record is from RefSeq and is a predicted model, not a curated record.
AUGCAAUGAAUCUGUUUUAAUUAAAUAAUUUAAAUUUUUUGUGAUUGCACAAUAAGUCUCCUAAACGGAGAAAUGUUGAAGACGUACUGUUUGAAGUUAAAAAAAAAGUGUAAAUGGGCCUCGACUAAAUAUACCACGAGGUUGAAUACUACAACAACGAACAGGAGAACAUGUGUACCUAUAUGAUGUACCAGAGCACUGGAAUAAAUACGAGGUUGCAGAAUUAAUUUCUCACCGCGACGGCAAGCACCAGGACUGCUAGGAGAUUGUGGUGGAUUAAAAAGGUUGAAGGUACCCUUUUUGGGGUGCAAUGACUGCUACUUGGUACAUCUUAGCAUUGCGUUUACCAAUAUACAGGGUUUACCUUGGAGCCCCAAUCUGACUUUUAAUAAAAACCGGUAAUUAUCUGUAGAGUGCGUAACUAACUACACGAAUGAAACAGAAUCUAUACUUAUUAACUUAUUUAAUGUUACCUAGUUGUGUUCGUCGUAGGUGCGAAGAUAUGACCGUAUUUUGUAGUCAUGUCUUAAGUCUAAAUUCUGAUAUACUAUUGUUUUGGUUGAUCAAAAAGCUUGAAAUUAUAGAUGUGUAUGAUACGGCGUGAUGACAAAGGGGAUC